RNAcentral lists this ribosomal RNA (485 nucleotides) under uncultured Pseudomonadota bacterium. RNAcentral describes it as "bacterial SSU rRNA". It matches the Rfam family "Bacterial small subunit ribosomal RNA", at positions 355 to 857 of the family's 1533-position model. The record is from RNAcentral. Lineage: Bacteria; Pseudomonadati; Pseudomonadota.
UGGGGAAUAUUGGACAAUGGGCGCAAGCCUGAUCCAGCAAUGCCGCGUGAGUGAUGAAGGCCUUCGGGUUGUAAAGCUCUUUCGCACGCGACGAUGAUGACGGUAGCGUGAGAAGAAGCCCCGGCUAACUUCGUGCCAGCAGCCGCGGUAAUACGAAGGGGGCUAGCGUUGUUCGGAAUUACUGGGCGUAAAGGGCGCGUAGGCGGUGUGUCAAGUCAGGCGUGAAAGCCCCGGGCUCAACCUGGGAACCGCGCUUGAGACUGGCACGCUCGAGUUCGGGAGAGGAUGGUGGAAUUCCCAGUGUAGAGGUGAAAUUCGUAGAUAUUGGGAAGAACACCGAUGGCGAAGGCAGCCAUCUGGACCGACACUGACGCUGAGGCGCGAAAGCGUGGGGAGCAAACAGGAUUAGAUACCCUGGUAGUCCACGCCGUAAACGAUGAGUGCUAGACGUCGGGGCCCUCAGGGCUUCAGUGUCGCAGCUAACG